Molecule: ribosomal RNA, 580 nt
Filed under: uncultured bacterium
Lineage: Bacteria
Description: bacterial SSU rRNA
Rfam family: Bacterial small subunit ribosomal RNA
Source: RNAcentral
ACGGGUGAGUAAUGUCUGGGGAUCUGCCCGAUAGAGGGGGAUAACCACUGGAAACGGUGGCUAAUACCGCAUAACGUCGCAAGACCAAAGAGGGGGACCUUCGGGCCUCUCACUAUCGGAUGAACCCAGAUGGGAUUAGCUAGUAGGCGGGGUAACGGCCCACCUAGGCGACGAUCCCUAGCUGGUCUGAGAGGAUGACCAGCCACACUGGAACUGAGACACGGUCCAGACUCCUACGGGAGGCAGCAGUGGGGAAUAUUGCACAAUGGGCGCAAGCCUGAUGCAGCCAUGCCGCGUGUAUGAAGAAGGCCUUCGGGUUGUAAAGUACUUUCAGCGGGGAGGAAGGCAGUGAGGUUAAUAACCUUACUGAUUGACGUUACCCGCAGAAGAAGCACCGGCUAACUCCGUGCCAGCAGCCGCGGUAAUACGGAGGGUGCAAGCGUUAAUCGGAAUUACUGGGCGUAAAGCGCACGCAGGCGGUCUGUUAAGUCAGAUGUGAAAUCCCCGGGCUUAACCUGGGAACUGCAUUUGAAACUGGCAGGCUUGAGUCUCGUAGAGGGGGGUAGAAUUCCAGGUGUAG